This 450-nucleotide ribosomal RNA is filed under the name uncultured bacterium. RNAcentral's name for it is "partial 16S ribosomal RNA". It matches the Rfam family "Bacterial small subunit ribosomal RNA", at positions 354 to 796 of the family's 1533-position model. The record is from RNAcentral.
GUGGGGAAUAUUGGACAAUGGGCGAAAGCCUGAUCCAGCCAUGCCGCGUGUGUGAAGAAGGUCUUCGGAUUGUAAAGCACUUUAAGUUGGGAGGAAGGGCAGUAAGUUAAUACCUUGCUGUUUUGACGUUACCGACAGAAUAAGCACCGGCUAACUUCGUGCCAGCAUCCGCGGUAAUACGAAGGGUGCAAGCGUUAAUCGGAAUUACUGGGCGUAAAGCGCGCGUAGGUGGUUUUGUAAGUUGGAGGUGAAAUCCCCGGGCUCAAACUGGGAACGGCCUCCAAAACUGCAUGACUAGAGUACGGUAGAGGGUAGUGGAAUUUCCUGUGUAGCGGUGAAAUGCGUAGAUAUAGGAAGGAACACCAGUGGCGAAGGCGACUACCUGGACUGAUACUGACACUGAGGUGCGAAAGCGUGGGGAGCAAACAGGAUUAGAAACCCGGGUAGUCC